RNAcentral lists this ribosomal RNA (447 nucleotides) under uncultured bacterium. RNAcentral describes it as "bacterial SSU rRNA". It matches the Rfam family "Bacterial small subunit ribosomal RNA", at positions 355 to 825 of the family's 1533-position model. The record is from RNAcentral.
UGGGGAAUAUUGGACAAUGGGCGAAAGCCUGAUCCAGCCAUGCCGCGUGAGUGACGAAGGCCUUAGGGUUGUAAAACUCUUUCGUCGGGGACGAUAAUGACGGUACCCGAAGAAGAAGCUCCGGCUAACUUCGUGCCAGCAGCCGCGGUAAUACGAAGGGAGCUAGCGUUGUUCGGAAUCACUGGGCGUAAAGCGCACGUAGGCGGAUAGUUAAGUCAGGGGUGAAAUCCUGGGGCUCAACCCCAGAACUGCCUUCAAAACUGGCGACCUGGACCUAAGUAGAGGCAAGUGGAAUUGCGAGUGUAGAGGUGAAAUUCGUAGAUAUUCGCAGGAACACCAGUGGCGAAGGCGACUUGCUGGACUUAUGGUGACGCUGAGACGCGAAAGCGUGGGGAGCAAACAGGAUUAGAUACCCACGUAGUCCCUGAGCGGGCUGGCAAGGCGCAU